UGGGGAAUAUUGCACAAUGGGCGAAAGCCUGAUGCAGCGACGCCGCGUGCGGGAUGAAGGCCUUCGGGUUGUAAACCGCUUUUGAUUGGGGAGCAAGCGAGAGUGAGUGUACCUUUCGAAUAAGCACCGGCUAACUACGUGCCAGCAGCCGCGGUAAUACGUAGGGUGCAAGCGUUAUCCGGAAUUAUUGGGCGUAAAGAGCUCGUAGGCGGUUUGUCGCGUCUGGUGUGAAAGUCCAUCGCUUAACGGUGGAUCUGCGCCGGGUACGGGCAGGCUAGAGUGCGACAGGGGAGACUGGAAUUCCCGGUGUAACGGUGGAAUGUGUAGAUAUCGGGAAGAACACCAAUGGCGAAGGCAGGUCUCUGGGUCGUCACUGACGCUGAGGAGCGAAAGCGUGGGGAGCGAACAGGAUUAGAUACCCUGGUAGUCCACGCCGUAAACGGUGGAUGCUGGAUGUGGGGCCCAUUCCACGGGUUCCGUGU
This 482-nucleotide ribosomal RNA is filed under the name uncultured bacterium. RNAcentral's name for it is "partial 16S ribosomal RNA". It matches the Rfam family "Bacterial small subunit ribosomal RNA", at positions 355 to 846 of the family's 1533-position model. The record is from RNAcentral.